AUUGAACGCUGGCGGCAUGCCUUACACAUGCAAGUCGAACGGCAGCGGACCUUCGGGUGCCGGCGAGUGGCGAACGGGUGAGUAAUAUAUCGGAACGUACCUUUCAGUGGGGGAUAACGUAGCGAAAGUUACGCUAAUACCGCAUAUUCUGUGAGCAGGAAAGCAGGGGAUCGCAAGACCUUGCGCUGAUUGAGCGGCCGAUAUCAGAUUAGCUAGUUGGUGAGGUAAAGGCUCACCAAGGCGACGAUCUGUAGCGGGUCUGAGAGGAUGAUCCGCCACACUGGAACUGAGACACGGUCCAGACUCCUACGGGAGGCAGCAGUGGGGAAUUUUGGACAAUGGGCGCAAGCCUGAUCCAGCCAUGCCGCGUGAGUGAGAAGGCCUCGGUUGUAAGC
This 395-nucleotide ribosomal RNA is filed under the name uncultured bacterium. RNAcentral's name for it is "bacterial SSU rRNA". It matches the Rfam family "Bacterial small subunit ribosomal RNA", at positions 30 to 431 of the family's 1533-position model. The record is from RNAcentral.